Molecule: long non-coding RNA, 3536 nt
Filed under: Homo sapiens (human)
Lineage: Eukaryota; Metazoa; Chordata; Mammalia; Primates; Hominidae
Description: HSALNT0276541
Source: RNAcentral
GGCAAAUGUUAACUCCAUCCCCCACCCACAGCCGGGUCUUGGUAGGGAGAGGGUGAAAUGAUGGACUAGGAGAGAUUUGGGUUCCUUGGACAGAUCUUGCCUUUUCCAGCAAGGUUGGGUUACAUGCCCUCUCUCUCUCAGCUCCUGGAAUUCCCCCUUGGCUUGCUACUGUUCUGAGAUGAAGUAAACUGGGUGAUUCUAAGAAUGGGCCUUGAGUCUGGCAAACCCAUCUGUUUCUUCCUAGCUAUGGGCCCCUGGCCCUCACCUCCCGCUUCUCAGUUUCUUCACCUGGAAAAUGAAGAUGACUAAGGAACCUGGGCCUUGGAAGGUUCUGGGAAUUCAGUGGAGUCAGAUUUAAAUAGAUUUUACUGCGACAGGGGAGACCCCACCAAGCAGGGCCAAUAUAUGUGGUCCCAGGAGGUCAAGAAAUGGUGACUUUCCGUAUCCACUCCCGUCUUUCACUGCACGAAGCCCUCGGAAGAUUAUUCUAUAGCAGUACGAUGACAGCAUCCUCCUUCUAGGAACUACAUCGUCUUCCGUCUCUGGAUGUGCCAUCUUUUACUCAGCUAGUCUACAUCUCAGGUGUUCCCCAUCUUCUGCACACAAGUAUUUGCACAUGCGUGUGAGUGUGUGCUGCGAGCACAUUCUUACCAGUGGUAUCACUGGGUCUUGGGAGGUGUGUUUUUGUUUUUGCAUGUGACAAACACAAGCAAAUUGUCUUCCAUGGGGGUGGCCUCGAUUAUCCGUCCCCAGCAUGGCCCGGGAGUGCCUGUAUGCCCAUGAUCUCACUAAUAGGAUAGCAUCAGCUCUUUCAUUUUUCUUUACUUUCUUUUUGAGACAGAGUCUUGCUCUGUCACCCAGACUGGAUGCAGUGGCAUGAUCUCAGCUCACCUGCAGCCUCCGCCUCCUGGGUUCCAGCGAUUCUUCAGCCUUACCCUUCCAAGUAGCUGGGACUAGAGGCAAGCACCACCACGCCGGGCUAAUUUUUGUAUUUUCAGUAGAGAUGGGCUUUUGCAAUGUUGGCCAGCCUUGUCUGGAGCUCCUGACCUCAGGUGUUCUGUCUGCCUCAGCCUCCCAAAGUACUGGGAUUACAGGCAUGAGCCAUCACACCUGGCCUUUUACUUUUCACUGAAGGGAAAUAUACAUACAAAAAAGUGCGCCUGUCAUCAGAGCCCAGCUCGCUGGAUUUUCACAGCAUCCACGCCUCCAUGAAACCAGCACUUGGAUCAAGACGGGAAGGUCCCCAGUCCCUGAAGCCUGCUUGUCACUCCCCUCCCAACAUAAACUUGAUCUAUUGUCAGUCUUUUUUGUUCACUAAAAUCCCCCUUCCCUUUCCAAAUUCCCCUGUCUGCAUAGACCAUGUCAGUGCCGCCCAAACCAUAUGCCAGGAAACUGAAAAACUAAAAUGUUUUGAUUUUUUUAAAGGAAAAAUAAAUCAGUAAGGACAAGGGUCCCCAAACUAUUCCCCACGGGCCAAAUCCAUUUUGCAGUCCUUUUACGUGUGGCCCACAUGCUAAAAAUUAUAGUCAUUUUUUAAAUGAUUGGGAAAAAAAAUCAAAAGAAGAAUAGAUCAGGACACAUAAACAUUUUAUCAAAUUCAAAUCUCAGUGUCCAUAAAUAACGUUUUCUUGGCACGCAGGCACGUUCUUCAUUUGUGUAUUAUCUACGGCCCAGUUCUUGCUGCAGCAGCGGAAUCGAGAAGCUGCGGGAGAGACCCCGCAGCCUGCAAAGCUGAAAAUAUUUACUUCCUGGCCAUUCACAGAAAAUGUUUGCCAACCCAUGACCUAAAGCAUCAUCUCUCAGAGGGUUGGGAAGGAACCUGGAAGCUGUCCCAUUCAGAGGCGGGAGCUUCAACGGGACCCUGCGUCUUCUGCCUCCAAGGCCUGUGGUAGGGGCUGUCACAGGCUGCAGAGGAGUCCAGGAGGGAGAUGCUACAGGUAAGGCAGGAGGAUGGAGAAGAGAGAACAGACUUGAACUAGACUUAGGGUCACACCAGCAGCUGUGAGCAGCUGACGAGUGUUCCAGUGCAAGGAGAGGAGGGUGCAAGAGCCAGGGAUUAUACACUGAUUAGCCUCCAUCACCGCAGAAAUUAUCUUGCCUGUGCAUGGUGCGAGGGUCUGGAACAUACAUUUAACCAAGGCAAGGAGCGAAGUGAGAGGAAGCAAUAUUGUGGAUUGCAGGAGGUGAUGGAUGAGAUGAGAGAAGAAUCUGCAUGGUCAGAAUCUGUUUGGCAUCGGAAGGGAAGUACCCAGGAAAUUUGAGGAUCGCCUCGUCCAGUUGUCUGUGGAACUGAACUGUGAGUUGUCCAUGAGGGAUGAAUGGCAAUGCCAAUGUUUCCAGAGUUUCUGUCAUGAGGUCUCCUGGCUUGGAGAUGGAGAGGGCACACACAGGUUUCGGAUUCAAGCCUGCAGGACAGUCCUGGCUGCACCACUCAGGAACCCUGGGUGAGUCUCUUUACCCCUCACAGCCUCAGUUUUCCCUUCCUGGAAAUGGGACCACAAUCCAAACCUUGUAGAACUGCUUCAAAGAUGAAAGGAGACAUCGCAUGUGAGAUGCCGGCCCAUAGGAGCCAGGGCACGAAAGGCAGCUCCGCAUUGGGUCCCCAAAAAGUCUCCGCAGGUUGGCAGCCAAGAGAGCUACCAUUUCUUUGUUUGGAGAGAUUCCACUCCCUGGAAAGGGUAAUCCUGCAGGAAAGGAGGAGGGAGUCGUUCCAGAGUUUGGGAGAUGUCGGCUUUGACUCUGAGUGAUGCCGCCUCAAACACUUACUGUCAUACAGGAAGUUACUCAAACACAAUCAAUUAGACACCCAUAUUAGCAUAUUUGUCAUUGUAAUACAGCCGCAGAGAGGAGAUGCUGGAGACUGUUUAUUGCUGUUCUGAGCUAAUAUUUAUUAAAGUGAUUAAUAUGUUUUUCAAAUAUCUGUGACAGGCGUGGCAGGAAUUACUGAUCUCCUCCCUCGAGAGCCUGAAAGGGUGAGGGGUGGGAGUCACUUAGAGAGGGGCGGCAGGUAGGGGCCUUGGGGCCUCAGGGGACCGUGUCCUCCUCUGGGGCCCCUUUCCUGCUCGGGCCUCCUGCCUUCCAUCUUCCCCUGUCUCCUCCACCUUCAACUUCCCCUGUCUCCUCUCCUCCACCUUCAACUUCCCCCUCUACUGACCGUUCCCAUCGGCAUUCUGAGACAUCUCCCACCAUGACAAAUAGAGACCUCCCAGGAUGCCCUGUCCCCCUGCUCCUUCCUGGACCCCCUCAUCCCCAGCCAUUCUGCCAUCUUCCUCCUUCCCUCCAUAGCCAAACUCUUCAAAAGAACUCUUUUCCCUCCCUACCUCCUUUGCUCAUCUUCCAGUCUCUGCUUUUUAAAAAUCAUUACAAAAAAUUAAAAGUGGCUGGGCGCGGUGGCUCACACCUGUAAUCCCAGUACUUUUGGAGGCCAAGGCGGGAGGGAAUAACCUGAGGUCAGGAGUUCGAGACCAGCCUGGCCAACAUGGUGAAACCCUGUCUCUAUUAAAAAUACAAAAAUUAGCAGGGUGUGGUAGCUGGUG